UACGUAGGUGGCAAGCGUUGUCCGGAAUUAUUGGGCGUAAAGCGCGCGCAGGCGGUUCCUUAAGUCUGAUGUGAAAGCCCCCGGCUCAACCGGGGAGGGUCAUUGGAAACUGGGGAACUUGAGUGCAGGAGAGGAAAGCGGAAUUCCACGUGUAGCGGUGAAAUGCGUAGAUAUGUGGGAGGAACACCAGUGGCGAAGGCGGCUUUUCUGGUCUGUAACUGACGCUGAGGCGCGGAAGCGUGGGGGAGCAAACAGG
Molecule: ribosomal RNA, 256 nt
Filed under: uncultured bacterium
Lineage: Bacteria
Description: partial 16S ribosomal RNA
Rfam family: Bacterial small subunit ribosomal RNA
Source: RNAcentral